UUUUUUUGUUUCGAUAUUUCGUUACAUACUUAUACUAAUGUUUAAAAUGAAGCCGCGAGUUAAGAGUUUCCGAGAACCGAAGUUCUUUUCCAUCUUAAUACGCCAUCAAGUGCACAGUGUUAGAAGUGGGGGUCAGGCUCUUCGAAAAGACGCCCUAAUAUUCACUAAUGAUCCUUCCGCAGGUUCACCUACGGAAA
This 197-nucleotide unclassified non-coding RNA is filed under the name uncultured fungus. RNAcentral's name for it is "sequence contains ITS1". The record is from RNAcentral. Lineage: Eukaryota; Fungi.